UGUGUAGGCGGUUCUCUAAGUUCCGUGUGAAAUCUCCCGGCUUAACUGGGAGGGUGCGCGGGAAACUGGAGGGCUUGAGUAUGGGAGAGGAAAGCGGAAUUCCUGGUGUAGCGGUGAAAUGCGUAGAUAUCAGGAGGAACACCUGCGGUGUAGACAGCUUUCUGGACCAUCACUGACGCUGAGACACGAAAGCGUGGGUAGCAAACAGGAUUAGAUACCCUGGUAGUCCACGCCCUAAACGAUGCAUACUUGGUGUGAGCCGUUCAUUCGGUUCGUGCCGGAGCUAACGCGUUAAGUAUGCCGCCUGGGGAGUACGGUCGCAAGGCUGAA
This 330-nucleotide ribosomal RNA is filed under the name uncultured bacterium. RNAcentral's name for it is "bacterial SSU rRNA". It matches the Rfam family "Bacterial small subunit ribosomal RNA", at positions 568 to 898 of the family's 1533-position model. The record is from RNAcentral.